This 425-nucleotide ribosomal RNA is filed under the name uncultured bacterium. RNAcentral describes it as "bacterial SSU rRNA". It matches the Rfam family "Bacterial small subunit ribosomal RNA", at positions 356 to 773 of the family's 1533-position model. The record is from RNAcentral.
GGGGAAUUUUGGACAAUGGGCGCAAGCCUGAUCCAGCCAUGCCGCGUGAGUGAAGAAGGCCUUCGGGUUGUAAAGCUCUUUCAGACGGGAAGAAACGACUAUAGCUAAUAUCUAUGGUUAAUGACGGUACUGUCAGAAGAAGCACCGGCUAACUACGUGCCAGCAGCCGCGGUAAUACGUAGGGUGCGAGCGUUAAUCGGAAUUACUGGGCGUAAAGCGUGCGCAGGCGGUUUUGUAAGACAGGUGUGAAAUCCCCGGGCUUAACCUGGGAACUGCAUUUGUGACUGCAAGGCUAGAGUGCGGCAGAGGGGGGUAGAAUUCCACGUGUAGCAGUGAAAUGCGUAGAGAUGUGGAGGAAUACCGAUGGCGAAGGCAGCCCCCUGGGUCGACACUGACGCUCAUGCACGAAAGCGUGGGGAGCAAAC